This is a long non-coding RNA of Scylla paramamosain (green mud crab), 339 nucleotides long. RefSeq lists it as uncharacterized. NCBI's taxonomy places the organism in Eukaryota, Metazoa, Arthropoda, Malacostraca, Decapoda, Portunidae. The transcript has 3 exons. The record is from RefSeq and is a predicted model, not a curated record.
AAAAUACUGCAUUGUUUUUUGUAACCUGCUGACUGGUGAAGGGACAACGUGUGCUCCUCAACACUUGGUUCUUGCCACGUGCCGCAGCAGGCUGACAGCUUCCAGUGGGCCUGUCUGAGCCUUCAAGUCCCGGCAAUGAAACGGUUCGUGUGAGGAAGACUGCUUCUGGUGCUACAGGUGGAAAUUGUUACUAGUGUCGUGGUGGCAGCACGGGCCUCGGCACUCCCUGGCACCACGGCAGGUGUCAGUGAGGCAGGCAGGUGUUGGUUCAAGUCCUGGCAGUGUCACUUCGCUGCUGUAUUGUUUGGUGCAGCGGAUGAUGCUACGUUUUUCAUCACU